This 763-nucleotide ribosomal RNA is filed under the name uncultured Streptococcus sp. Its description in RNAcentral is "bacterial SSU rRNA". It matches the Rfam family "Bacterial small subunit ribosomal RNA", at positions 28 to 776 of the family's 1533-position model. Lineage: Bacteria; Bacillati; Bacillota; Bacilli; Lactobacillales; Streptococcaceae. The record is from RNAcentral.
GACGAACGCUGGCGGCGUGCCUAAUACAUGCAAGUAGAACGCUGAAGGAGGAGCUUGCUUCUCCGGAUGAGUUGCGAACGGGUGAGUAACGCGUAGGUAACCUGCCUGGUAGCGGGGGAUAACUAUUGGAAACGAUAGCUAAUACCGCAUAAUAGUAGAUGUUGCAUGACAUUUACUUAAAAGGUGCAAUUGCAUCACUACCAGAUGGACCUGCGUUGUAUUAGCUAGUUGGUGGGGUAACGGCUCACCAAGGCGACGAUACAUAGCCGACCUGAGAGGGUGAUCGGCCACACUGGGACUGAGACACGGCCCAGACUCCUACGGGAGGCAGCAGUAGGGAAUCUUCGGCAAUGGACGGAAGUCUGGCCGAGCAACGCCGCGUGAGUGAAGAAGGUUUUCGGAUCGUAAAGCUCUGUUGUAAGAGAAGAACGAGUGUGAGAGUGGAAAGUUCACACUGUGACGGUAUCUUACCAGAAAGGGACGGCUAACUACGUGCCAGCAGCCGCGGUAAUACGUAGGUCCCGAGCGUUGUCCGGAUUUAUUGGGCGUAAAGCGAGCGCAGGCGGUUAGAUAAGUCUGAAGUUAAAGGCUGUGGCUUAACCAUAGUACGCUUUGGAAACUGUUUAACUUGAGUGCAAGAGGGGAGAGUGGAAUUCCAUGUGUAGCGGUGAAAUGCGUAGAUAUAUGGAGGAACACCGGCGGCGAAAGCGGCUCUCUGGCUUGUAACUGACGCUGAGGCUCGAAAGCGUGGGGAGCAAACAGG